This 548-nucleotide ribosomal RNA is filed under the name Fusarium fujikuroi. RNAcentral describes it as "eukaryotic LSU rRNA". The stretch from base 179 to 332 matches the Rfam family "5.8S ribosomal RNA". Lineage: Eukaryota; Fungi; Ascomycota; Sordariomycetes; Hypocreales; Nectriaceae. The record is from RNAcentral.
UCCGUAGGUGAACCUGCGGAGGGAUCAUUACCGAGUUUACAACUCCCAAACCCCUGUGAACAUACCAAUUGUUGCCUCGGCGGAUCAGCCCGCUCCCGGUAAAACGGGACGGCCCGCCAGAGGACCCCUAAACUCUGUUUCUAUAUGUAACUUCUGAGUAAAACCAUAAAUAAAUCAAAACUUUCAACAACGGAUCUCUUGGUUCUGGCAUCGAUGAAGAACGCAGCAAAAUGCGAUAAGUAAUGUGAAUUGCAGAAUUCAGUGAAUCAUCGAAUCUUUGAACGCACAUUGCGCCCGCCAGUAUUCUGGCGGGCAUGCCUGUUCGAGCGUCAUUUCAACCCUCAAGCCCAGCUUGGUGUUGGGACUCGCGAGUCAAAUCGCGUUCCCCAAAUUGAUUGGCGGUCACGUCGAGCUUCCAUAGCGUAGUAGUAAAACCCUCGUUACUGGUAAUCGUCGCGGCCACGCCGUUAAACCCCAACUUCUGAAUGUUGACCUCGGAUCAGGUAGGAAUACCCGCUGAACUUAAGCAUAUCAAUAAGAGGGAGGAA